This 584-nucleotide long non-coding RNA is filed under the name Oryza sativa (Asian cultivated rice). RNAcentral describes it as "long non-coding RNA (OSAT_LNC001683)". Lineage: Eukaryota; Viridiplantae; Streptophyta; Magnoliopsida; Poales; Poaceae. The record is from RNAcentral.
CCCGAUUCGCCCUCGAGAAGUGUCGUGGUGGAGAAGACCAGGAAGAAGAGAAGGCUAGAGAAGUGGAAGCCGAGCAAGAAAUUGAAGUCAUCACAGAUCGGAUUCAACAAGAUGAAAAAGAAAAAGGAAGAAAAAUCAUCACAAAUAAAAAAAAUCAUCCCGCUCCCCACCAUGGCCGCCGUCAUGGCGCUCUGCGCCGCCUCCUAACUCCUCGGCCGUGCCCUCCUGACCACCGCCGGCUCCUCCAUGGCUUGCUCCUGCUCCUCCUCCUCCUACUUCCCUGCAACAAAGAGGAAUCAAAUCACACAAAAACAGCUCCUUCCUUUGGCCUUUGAUUUCUCCUCACCUCCAUGAGCCUCUUGAGGGGGCGAGGAGGCGCGGCUGGCUCCGGAGUCUCCGGGCGAUUCAUCUCCUGACGACCGCCAACGAAUCCAGGGGCCCGCACCGCCGCCCGGCGCCCGGCGCAACUCGCUGCCGCCGGAGCAGCAUUCGCCGCCGCCGCACGGGAUGCGAGGCAAUAGGAGGCGUAGCGAGGCGAGGAGAAGCAGUGUGGCGUGGCGAGGAGAAGCGGAGCCGGCACCGGA